This 253-nucleotide ribosomal RNA is filed under the name uncultured bacterium. Its description in RNAcentral is "partial 16S ribosomal RNA". It matches the Rfam family "Bacterial small subunit ribosomal RNA", at positions 524 to 776 of the family's 1533-position model. The record is from RNAcentral.
UACGUAGGGACCGAGCGUUGUCCGGAUUCAUUGGGCGUAAAGAGCUCGUAGGCGGCUGCUCAAGUCGAAUGUGAAAACUCGAGGCUCAACCUCGAGCCUGCAUUCGAUACUGGGCGGCUAGAGUCUGGUAGGGGGAUCUGGAAUUCCUGGUGUAGCGGUGGAAUGCGCAGAUAUCAGGAGGAACACCGGUGGCGAAGGCGGGUCUCUGGGCCGUAACUGACGCUGAGGAGCGAAAGCGUGGGGAGCGAACAGG